This 1518-nucleotide ribosomal RNA is filed under the name Escherichia coli. RNAcentral's name for it is "partial 23S ribosomal RNA". It matches the Rfam family "Bacterial large subunit ribosomal RNA", at positions 1 to 1553 of the family's 2925-position model. Lineage: Bacteria; Pseudomonadati; Pseudomonadota; Gammaproteobacteria; Enterobacterales; Enterobacteriaceae. The record is from RNAcentral.
GGGUUGUGAGGUUAAGCGACUAAGCGUACACGGUGGAUGCCCUGGCAGUCAGAGGCGAUGAAGGACGUGCUAAUCUGCGAUAAGCGUCGGUAAGGUGAUAUGAACCGUUAUAACCGGCGAUUUCCGAAUGGGGAAACCCAGUGUGUUUCGACACACUAUCAUUAACUGAAUCCAUAGGUUAAUGAGGCGAACCGGGGGAACUGAAACAUCUAAGUACCCCGAGGAAAAGAAAUCAACCGAGAUUCCCCCAGUAGCGGCGAGCGAACGGGGAGCAGCCCAGAGCCUGAAUCAGUGUGUGUGUUAGUGGAAGCGUCUGGAAAGGCGCGCGAUACAGGGUGACAGCCCCGUACACAAAAAUGCACAUAUUGUGAGCUCGAUGAGUAGGGCGGGACACGUGGUAUCCUGUCUGAAUAUGGGGGGACCAUCCUCCAAGGCUAAAUACUCCUGACUGACCGAUAGUGAACCAGUACCGUGAGGGAAAGGCGAAAAGAACCCCGGCGAGGGGAGUGAAAAAGAACCUGAAACCGUGUACGUACAAGCAGUGGGAGCACGCUUAGGCGUGUGACUGCGUACCUUUUGUAUAAUGGGUCAGCGACUUAUAUUCUGUAGCAAGGUUAACCGAAUAGGGGAGCCGAAGGGAAACCGAGUCUUAACUGGGCGUUAAGUUGCAGGGUAUAGACCCGAAACCCGGUGAUCUAGCCAUGGGCAGGUUGAAGGUUGGGUAACACUAACUGGAGGACCGAACCGACUAAUGUUGAAAAAUUAGCGGAUGACUUGUGGCUGGGGGUGAAAGGCCAAUCAAACCGGGAGAUAGCUGGUUCUCCCCGAAAGCUAUUUAGGUAGCGCCUCGUGAAUUCAUCUCCGGGGGUAGAGCACUGUUUCGGCAAGGGGGUCAUCCCGACUUACCAACCCGAUGCAAACUGCGAAUACCGGAGAAUGUUAUCACGGGAGACACACGGCGGGUGCUAACGUCCGUCGUGAAGAGGGAAACAACCCAGACCGCCAGCUAAGGUCCCAAAGUCAUGGUUAAGUGGGAAACGAUGUGGGAAGGCCCAGACAGCCAGGAUGUUGGCUUAGAAGCAGCCAUCAUUUAAAGAAAGCGUAAUAGCUCACUGGUCGAGUCGGCCUGCGCGGAAGAUGUAACGGGGCUAAACCAUGCACCGAAGCUGCGGCAGCGACGCUGAUGCGUUGUUGGGUAGGGGAGCGUUCUGUAAGCCUGUGAAGGUGCGCUGUGAGGCAUGCUGGAGGUAUCAGAAGUGCGAAUGCUGACAUAAGUAACGAUAAAGCGGGUGAAAAGCCCGCUCGCCGGAAGACCAAGGGUUCCUGUCCAACGUUAAUCGGGGCAGGGUGAGUCGACCCCUAAGGCGAGGCCGAAAGGCGUAGUCGAUGGGAAACAGGUUAAUAUUCCUGUACUUGGUGUUACUGCGAAGGGGGGACGGAGAAGGCUAUGUUGGCCGGGCGACGGUUGUCCCGGUUUAAGCGUGUAGGCUGGUUUUCCAGGCAAAUCCGGAAAAUCAA